Molecule: long non-coding RNA, 244 nt
Filed under: Lathyrus oleraceus (garden pea)
Lineage: Eukaryota; Viridiplantae; Streptophyta; Magnoliopsida; Fabales; Fabaceae
Description: Pisum sativum (pea) long non-coding RNA (PSAT_LNC034344)
Source: RNAcentral
UUUCUACAUGUAAAAUUUCAUGAGCAUUGGAUAAGAAUUGAGCAUUUCACAAUUGAUAUAUCAAGGCAAGGUUCAAAAAGCAUACAUGUUAACAUUCCCUAGCACAAAAAAUUAUACAGCCAUGAACAAUUUGUAAAAUAAUAUUAAAAAAAAACUAGAGACAAAAUGUGACAUAACAAAAAAAACCACAUAUUUUUUGGAUCAAUUUUCUAUUUGUUAUGAUUUUUGAAAGUUAAAGAAAAAU